Molecule: ribosomal RNA, 500 nt
Filed under: uncultured bacterium
Lineage: Bacteria
Description: partial 16S ribosomal RNA
Rfam family: Bacterial small subunit ribosomal RNA
Source: RNAcentral
AUUGAACGCUGGCGGCAUGCCUUACACAUGCAAGUCGAGCGGCAGCACGGGAGCAAUCCUGGUGGCGAGUGGCGAACGGGUGAGUAAAGUAUCGGAACGUGCCCAGUCGUGGGGGAUAACGUAGCGAAAGUUACGCUAAUACCGCAUACGAUCUAUGGAUGAAAGCGGGGGAUCGCAAGACCUCGCGCGAUUGGAGCGGCCGAUAUCAGAUUAGGUAGUUGGUGGGGUAAAGGCUCACCAAGCCGACGAUCUGUAGCUGGUCUGAGAGGACGACCAGCCACACUGGGACUGAGACACGGCCCAGACUCCUACGGGAGGCAGCAGUGGGGAAUUUUGGACAAUGGGCGAAAGCCUGAUCCAGCCAUGCCGCGUGCAGGAUGAAGGCCUUCGGGUUGUAAACUGCUUUUGUACGGAACGAAAAGGUUUGGGCUAAUAAGCUGAGCUCAUGACGGUACCGUAAGAAUAAACACCGGCUAACUACGUGCCAGCAGCCGCCGUGU